UGCAGUCGAACGGUAACAUUUCAAAGCUUGCUUUGAAAAUGACGAGUGGCGGACGGGUGAGUAAUGCUUGGGAAUUUGCCUUUAGGUGGGGGACAACAGUUGGAAACGACUGCUAAUACCGCAUAAUUGCUACGGCACAAAGGGGGCUUCGGCUCUCGCCUUUAGAGAAGCCCAAGUGGGAUUAGGUAGUUGGUGAGGUAAAGGCUCACCAAGCCGACGAUCCCUAGCUGGUCUGAGAGGAUGAUCAGCCACACUGGAACUGAGACACGGUCCAGACUCCUACGGGAGGCAGCAGUGGGGAAUAUUGCACAAUGGGCGCAAGCCUGAUGCAGCCAUGCCGCGUGUGUGAAGAAGGCCUUCGGGUUGUAAAGCACUUUCAGUCGUGAGGAAGAGUUAGUAGUUAAUACCUGCUAGCUUUGACGUUAGCGACAGAAGAAGCACCGGCUAACUCCGUGCCAGCAGCCGCGGUAAUACGGAGGGUGCGAGCGUUAAUCGGAAUUACUGGGCGUAAAGCGUACGCAGGCGGCUAAGUAAGUCAGAUGUGAAAGCCCCGGGCUCAACCUGGGAACUGCAUUUGAAACUGCUUGGCUAGAGUGCGAGAGAGGGUGGUGGAAUUUCAGGUGUAGCGGUGAAAUGCGUAGAGAUCUGAAGGAAUACCAAUGGCGAAGGCAGCCACCUGGGUCGACACUGACGCUCAUGUACGAAAGCGUGGGUAGCAAACAGGAUUAGAUACCCUGGUAGUCCACGCCGUAAACGAUGUCUACUAGCAGUUUGCCUCUUAAGAGGUGUCUU
This 792-nucleotide ribosomal RNA is filed under the name uncultured Pseudoalteromonadaceae bacterium. RNAcentral's name for it is "bacterial SSU rRNA". It matches the Rfam family "Bacterial small subunit ribosomal RNA", at positions 56 to 845 of the family's 1533-position model. Lineage: Bacteria; Pseudomonadati; Pseudomonadota; Gammaproteobacteria; Alteromonadales; Pseudoalteromonadaceae. The record is from RNAcentral.